This 405-nucleotide ribosomal RNA is filed under the name uncultured Bacteroidota bacterium. RNAcentral describes it as "bacterial SSU rRNA". It matches the Rfam family "Bacterial small subunit ribosomal RNA", at positions 8 to 409 of the family's 1533-position model. Lineage: Bacteria; Pseudomonadati; Bacteroidota. The record is from RNAcentral.
AGAGUUUGAUCAUGGCUCAGGAUGAACGGCUAGCGGCAGGCUUAAUACAUGCAAGUCGAGCGGUACCAGGUGUAGCAAUACAUGCUGACGAGCGGCAGACGGGUGAGGAACACGUACGCAACUUUCCUCAAACCGGGGCACAACCUUGAGAAAUCAGGGCUAAUUCCCCAUAACAUUGCGAGAGGGCAUCUGAUUGCAAUUAAAAAUUCGUCGGUUUGAGAUGGGCGUGCGUUCGAUUAGCUAGUUGGUAAGGUAACGGCCUACCAAGGCAACGAUCGAUAGCUGGUGUGAGAGCACGACCAGCCACACGGGCACUGAGACACGGGCCCGACUCCUACGGGAGGCAGCAGUAAGGAAUAUUGGUCAAUGGACGACAGUCUGAACCAGCCAUGCCGCGUGAGGGAU